GACGAACGCUGGCGGCGUGCCUAAUACAUGCAAGUCGAACGCUUCUUUCCUCCCGAGUGCUUGCACUCAAUUGGAAAGAGGAGUGGCGGACGGGUGAGUAACACGUGGGUAACCUACCCAUCAGAGGGGGAUAACACUUGGAAACAGGUGCUAAUACCGCAUAACAGUUUAUGCCGCAUGGCAUAAGAGUGAAAGGCGCUUUCGGGUGUCGCUGAUGGAUGGACCCGCGGUGCAUUAGCUAGUUGGUGAGGUAACGGCUCACCAGGGCCACGAUGCAUAGCCGACCUGAGAGGGUGAUCGGCCACACUGGGACUGAGACACGGCCCAGACUCCUACGGGAGGCAGCAGUAGGGAAUCUUCGGCAAUGGACGAAAGUCUGACCGAGCAACGCCGCGUGAGUGAAGAAGGUUUUCGGAUCGUAAAACUCUGUUGUUAGAGAAGAACAAGGACGUUAGUAACUGAACGUCCCCUGACGGUAUCUAACCAGAAAGACACGGCUAACUACGUG
RNAcentral lists this ribosomal RNA (508 nucleotides) under uncultured bacterium. Its description in RNAcentral is "partial 16S ribosomal RNA". It matches the Rfam family "Bacterial small subunit ribosomal RNA", at positions 28 to 507 of the family's 1533-position model. The record is from RNAcentral.